Molecule: ribosomal RNA, 253 nt
Filed under: uncultured bacterium
Lineage: Bacteria
Description: partial 16S ribosomal RNA
Rfam family: Bacterial small subunit ribosomal RNA
Source: RNAcentral
GACGAAGGGGGCUAGCGUUGUUCGGAAUUACUGGGCGUAAAGCGUGCGCAGGCGGUUCUCCAAGUCCGUUGUGAAAGCCCCGGGCUCAACCUGGGAAUGGCAGUGGAAACUAGGGGACUGGAAUCUGGCAGAGGGGGGUGGAAUGCCGCGUGUAGCAGUGAAAUGCGUAGAGAUGCGGCGGAACACCGAUGGCGAAGGCAGCCCCCUGGGCUGAGAUUGACGCUCAGGCACGAAAGCGUGGGGAGCAAACAGG